GCAAAGUUUCCAUCUUUUAGAAAGCACCCUCCAAUAUUCAUUUGUUUGACCAGCUUUUUCUUGGAUGCAUCCCAUUUCAAAUUGGCAAAAAUUACCAUUUCAAGAAAUUAAUUGUUAUGUCAUAUUUUCAUCAUCUUAUACGCUGGAUAAUAACAAGAAACGAAUGAUAAUAUAGUUCAUAACUCAAAAUCAUUUUUAGCUAUUUGCUACUAUAUAAAUAUUCUGGCUAAUAUUCAGGCAUUUUCUUUUAUUUCAGAUUGAAUAUUUAGUGGAAUCAUGUUUGCCAGCCGUUGCAGAUGUCGACUGCACUCAUACAAAGAAGAUAAGUGGAACUUUUCCUAGAGGCGGAGAUGUCAUCUACGGAAUUUCUCACUAGCAUACCAGAGGGCUGGUAUAGCCGUCCAUGAAGAGGAAGUAUGAGCUAUUAUAUUUUGUUUCUUUGGAAAUGUUCUGCUUACAGUCUGUAUUAUUUGUAUACAUUGCUAAUAAAAUUUCACCACUUUCAAGAACAAAUUGAUUCAUAUCUAAUCACAGUGUGUUGUUAGCAUUCAUUUGACAUGAUUCUCAUACAGUCUCAAAUUAGUAGUGGAGGUGCGUCAAGUGUUUAAGAACACAGAAGAAAAUUUCCAAAAGAAUAUCAUGAAUGAAAGAAUUGCAAGAUUAUCUGGUAGUGUUGCCAACAUUCAAGUCAAACGAUGAAUCUGCCCUGGCAUAUUAUGAAUCUAUUAGUAAACAUUUUUGAUACCCAAAGUAUAUGAAAAUGUAAAAGGCGAAUCUGAUUGUGUUACCAGCAAGCAUUUUUGUGUAAUAUGCUCAAACUUUUCUAACUAUCAUGUUGUAUUAGGAUGAGCCCUUCAUGAAACCCAGUCUUGAAGACAUGAAGAACGCCGUUGUGGUACCCUCAUAGCUUCUGCUUCUAAGGGAAAAGUUAAAGGCUACCCAAUUUGGGGUAAUCCAAAGCAUUCUUAAAUGAGAAUUUUACCUUCCCCUUCUGCAUGCCCGUGCAUUGCGAAUUCAAAAGCUUUAGGCUUUACCUGUUUCAAAGCUGUGAACUUCGAAUGUUUUAAGUGAUCAACAUAUGCCAGAUCAUUGGAAAUUUGAGACCCGGAGAUGCCUAUUUCAAGCUUGAAAAGGAGCUGAGAAACUUUGUUAUAUCAUGGAUCACUCCUUUGUCUAUAUUUGUUUACAUGAUUUGCUAUAAUUAGGACACAAGUUUUACACAAAAUCUCUGAUUUUCAAGACACUUUUUUUAAUGUGAUAUCUUGGAAACAAGGUUUGCUCUUUCUUGAGGUUAACAUAAUUUCCUGGCUUGGCUUCUAUUAUGGCAUUCUCCCUUGUCCUGGGUAACAGAACAAGUAACUGCGCAGAAGCACCAGCUAUGCUCUUUGGAAUGUCAUGGUGUCUGGAUAAUGGUCACAGCAAUAUCAUGGCUGAAAGUGAUUCGAAACUGAUAGUGGACAGCAUCAUUAAUUCUAAAAGCAUCUGCUGAGAAUUUUCAAGGAAAUCCAAAAGCUGAAAGAGCUUCUCCAACAGACCACUUCAACAUUAAGCACUACUUUAGGGAAAUAAACCAAGUGGCGGACAAACUAGCAUCUCUGGUUCCAGAUGAUAUUUCAACUAUGCAGUAUGGCCAUGGACAGAUGGGGCUACCGGCUAUAAAGAUAUCUAUCUAGAAGGAAGAAAAAGAAUUGGUCCUUGAUCCACCUUAAUUCCUUGUAUCACUCUCUUUCUAUAGGCUACAUAAUUCAAUGUUUAGGAUAUGGAUAUUCAUACAUAUUCUUGUCCCUCUUGCAUUUACCUCAUCUCAGUUCUUGUGUAAGGGUGGUAGUGCUAGCCUUCAAAUUAGCCUAUGAAGGAUGUGUUGCGCUCAACCCCCUCAAAACCAGCUAUUAUAGCCUUUUGGAGAU
Molecule: long non-coding RNA, 1907 nt
Organism: Lycium barbarum (goji berry)
Lineage: Eukaryota; Viridiplantae; Streptophyta; Magnoliopsida; Solanales; Solanaceae
Exons: 4
Source: RefSeq, a predicted model, not a curated record